This 459-nucleotide ribosomal RNA is filed under the name uncultured Acidobacteriota bacterium. Its description in RNAcentral is "bacterial SSU rRNA". It matches the Rfam family "Bacterial small subunit ribosomal RNA", at positions 341 to 792 of the family's 1533-position model. The record is from RNAcentral. Lineage: Bacteria; Pseudomonadati; Acidobacteriota.
ACGGGAGGCAGCAGUGGGGAAUUUUGCGCAAUGGGCGGAAGCCUGACGCAGCAACGCCGCGUGGAGGAUGAAGGUCUUUGGAUUGUAAACUCCUGUCAGCGGGGAAAAAGGGACUGGGGCUCAUACCCUCAGGACUUGAUUGUACCCGCAGAGGAAGCCCCGGCUAACUCUGUGCCAGCAGCCGCGGUAAUACAGAGGGGGCAAGCGUUAUUCGGAAUUAUUGGGCGUAAAGGGCGCGUAGGCGGCUUUGCAAGUGGCGGGUGAAAUCCCUCGGCUUAACCGAGGAACUGCCUGCCAGACUGUGAGGCUUGAGACCGGGAGAGGUGAGUGGAAUUCCCAGUGUAGCGGUGAAAUGCGUAGAUAUUGGGAGGAACACCAGUGGCGAAGGCGGCUCACUGGACCGGAACUGACGCUGAGGCGCGAAAGCGUGGGGAGCAAACAGGAUUAGAUACCCUGGUA